UUCUGCGAUUGACUAGCGAUUCCGUACUGUCACUGCGAGUUCCGAGUCUGCAAGACCUGCGAUCCCGGACUUAUGCAGAUUCGGGUUUAGCUAGAGAUUAGCUCUCACCGUCGGCGGCAGUUGGCAACCCUCUGUACCGACCAUUUGUAGCACGUGUGUAGCCCAGGCCGUAAGGGCCAUGAUGACUUGACGUCAUCCCCACCUUCCUCCGGUUUGUCACCGGCAGUCUCCUUAGAGUGCCCACCAGUUACGUGCUGGUAACUAAGGACAAGGGUUGCGCUCGUUACGGGACUUAACCCAACAUCUCACGACACGAGCUGACGACAGCCUAACCAGCACGGUGUGUCAGAGUUCCCGAAUUAAACCACUCGUCUCGGAAAGUUCUUGCAUGUCAGCAUGG
RNAcentral lists this ribosomal RNA (400 nucleotides) under uncultured bacterium. RNAcentral describes it as "partial 16S ribosomal RNA". The record is from RNAcentral.